AGGAUUGUGUGUUGAUAAUUAUUUUUCCAGGAUUGAUGAUAAUAUUGAAGAGGAAGGAGCUAGGAGUGAGUUGCUAAGUGACAGAAAAAGAGCAAGUGGAAGUUUCUUAGAAGUAGAGAAGGAAACAAGAAAGCAGAAAGUGAGAAGUUCUCUGCCUCCUCCCUUAUGGAGCCUUGGCUUUCCACAGACGAUGGAAUGUUUGUCUGAUGCUGGGCAAAGAAGAUUAAUGACAAGGUAAUGAGAGUUUCUAUUUAUGCCAGCUCCUUUGUCUGAGUUCCCAGCCUGGGAACUCUAAACCAUCCAGCCACCCACCAGGCCUCAGGAGACAGUUCUUCAGGCAGUGUUGGUGAGCUCUGUGGUGUCACAGCAAGAUCGCUUUGUCUUUCACUCCUGACCACGAUGUGCAUUUUGUAAGAAGGAAGCUUGCUUGAGGCACAAGAUUCGGGACUGGCUCCACUUGCUAAGUUGGUUUUGGUUUUGCACAGACAAAGUUUUUUAACUUGCUAGACAUUUUCAACAUCAUCCACAGUUUGAUUCCAGAUUCCACAGCUAAGCCUUGAGAGUCUAAAGCGCCUCUUAUUUUGAAGACCAGCAUUGAAGAAAGAGCAGAUGGGAUGUGGUAAGGGGCACGGUCAUGAUGGCAGAGCUGGAGGAGAAGAAGGUGUGACCAGGACCUUCCCUGUACCGGAUGGAGAGCUAAGCUGCGGCCGAGUGUCCCAUGGUGAAGCUAGCUUCAUGUUCUUCCCCUGCCCAGGUCUCUCAGCAAGGAAGCCCUCUAGGCCUCAGUGCUUGCAGCAAUACCAUUUGGAGUCAAUGCUCCAGUUCUGGAAAUUCUCUUCAUUCACAGGGCAUGUACAGGAGGUAGGACACACAGGCGAGAAAAUCAGGCAUUAGGCCUAAAAUCUUACAUAUCAACUGUUCCUUGUUUUCUCAUUUUUUGCUUGAUUUCCAAGGGCAUCAGUGACUGAAGAAGUUAAACUUCCUAGACAAAAUUGAAAGUUUAAAAAUGUCUACACUCCUGCUGUUUCUCCCUUUGUGAGAAAUGCUUUAUGCUGGUCAUCAAAAUGCCUAGAGUCCAGGGGUGAUUUGGGCUGAACAUUUGCAUCCCCCCAAAAUCUAUAUGCUGAAGCCUCAACCCCAUGUGUAGCUAUACUUGGAAAUGGGGCAUCUAAGAAAGUAAUUAAGGUUAAAUGAGGUCGUAAGGGUGGGGUCCUGACCCCAUAGGAUUAAUGUCUUUAUAAGAAGAGACACCAGAGAUGGUUGUCUCUCUCCCCAGGUACGCACCAUGGGAAAGCACAAUGAGAAGGCAGCCAUCUGUAAAGAAGAGUGCCCAUACUGGGUUCUGAUCCUGCUGACUCCCUAAUCGUGGACUUCCGGUCUCCAGAACUAUUGUUUAAGCCACCCAGUCUCUAAUAUUGUGUUAUGAAAGCUCAAGUAGACAAAUGCAAAGAGCCCAGAUAUCAUCCUCUAGCCUUCCUUCCCAAACUCACCUGUCUUAGAUUCUAUUCCAUUAGUUCCAGUGUAACAAACUGAUUCAUACUGAUCUAAUAAUCAGGAACAAAUUUCAUCAUCCCCUCAGAGACAUGGUGGGAAAUGAGGCUUUUGAUGCCCAGCCAAUAAAACAACCUAGCAGCCACUUACUUGUCCCUCCAUUUCUUUGCGGCAUUGGCUGGUGUUCAGGCUGGCUCGAAUUACCAAAUAAGGAGAGGGAAUGGAAGAGGAGACAAUGGGAAAUGAAAGGCAGUAGACAGAUUUUGAAAAUGUUCACUUUUAUGCAUGUAUUAUGAGCCUAUACUUUGCUGCUAGUAGGGAAAUAAAAAUGAGUAAGAUAUUUCUUCUAUCCCUAAGCCCAACGUUUAAAGAAAUCAAACCUAGUGAAAGUGAAAAACACUAAGUCAUUGUCACAUUUUAUUUUUUUCUAGUAUCUAAAAAACUGGGCUUACAACAAUCUGGUUUUAUAAUUUUCUUAUUUAAAAAUUAUUUUGUUCAAUUUUUUUAAGUGUUCAGGGACAAAGCGGGGUGGAUUUCCUUAAAAAAUACUACUUGGCAAAAAGCCAGAAUUGGCUAAUAAGAAAUUUUCAGAAUUCUGAAUAGCGUACACUACAUAUAGGCAAUAAUAGACAUAAGCUGAGAGAACAGUCGUAAGAGCUCAGCCACCAGGGAAAUGGAUUUCUGAUUGGCAGGACAUUGUUCUAGGAUUUUGACUCUGGAAGUCAGUCUAUUGUGGAGAUUUUAUUUCUUCCUUUUUCCCCGUUUUCUUUCUUUCUCUCCCUCUUUCCUAUUAUCCUCUCUUUUUUCUCCCUUCUUCUUAUUUUUGGACAUUUAAAAUAGCAAAUCCUAGAAUGAUUUUCUUUUAUUAAUGACUUGGCCCCGUUCUGCAAAAAGAAGAAAGUGCAGAUACGUUAGCUUCCUGGAAGCAGCAAGAGAAAUAAAACUAGUAGUGUUAACUAGUGUAAUCCGAGCAAGGAUGUUUGACACAUAGAGGAGAGGGAAGAAGGCUGGAAAGCAGCCUCUCUCUCCAUAACCUUCUACUCCAAGGCACCUCUCAAGGCCUGGGGAGAGAGUGAAGCUUGUUCCAGAGCUCCAGGGAAGCUGGUUCCUGACUCAGGUUCGGUGUCCCGUGAAGGCUACUUUGUUUUUGAUCCCUGGUUAGGAAGCCACGAGGCAGAAAGAUACUUGGAUGUAACUGGAUGCUUGUAUUUCUUUACAUAUUGUGAUUUAUUGCAAGUUGAUGUAAAUAUUUUAUGCAAUUAUUAGUAACCAAAGACGAAUUGCUAUUUAUGCUUUAUGUUAACAAAAACAUUCUUGUUUCUAGGAAUAGUAUAAAGGGCUGGAUCUUGUAUGUGUAUGAAUCUGGGAAAACCUUAAGAAUUGAGACAUCUUAGUCUUAUCCCUAAGCAUCACCACAAAAUGAGAUUGAGCUUGGUAGGAAAUCACCGUCCUUAAUAAGGAAGGCAAGAUCUGUCCCUUGAGCUCAGAUUGGUGACUAUGAAAUGAUAACUGCAUAACUGCCAGGCAGGGAGGGGACGGCCUCCCCAUGGAGGGCCCGAAAGAGUUAACUGCAUCCCCACAUGCCCCUCCCUUGCUUCCCCAGCUCAGGGAUCUUACUGGAUAGGGCUGGACUUGUCAGGAGAACAAGAACUUGCAGUUCAACUAGGAACUUGGACUUCCCGCACAGAAAAAGUUAAAAAAACUUGCAGGAAUGGGGAAACCUGAAAAUAAAAAGAACAAAACAAAACAAAACAAAGCAGGGUUUGUACUAGUUCAUUAGAUGCCUACGUACAUGUUUGCCUGGCGAUAAAGGGGAUUUGAGGACAUAGGGAAGGGCAAACAGAAAAUGAAAAUAAAGCCAAUUGGCUGGGCUUAUUGUCAUACACUUCCAGGGCACUUGAAGGGGAACGUCUGCGGACAAACUUAUGUUUGGGGGGCCUGGGAGGCACUGAGGGCAGCAGCCUCCACCAGACCCCUAUAGGUAUUCUGUGUCUAGGGAGAUGCUUCCUCUGGGGCCCUCAGGAGAAACUCCUUUGGGUUUUUUUUUUUUUUUUUUCCAAAACUUCAGGCACGACCCUGCAAAGGGAAGGAAUGAUGGAGGUGGCAGAACACGAUUGCUUUCUGUUGAGAAGCGUGUGUGCCUCCAGGCACAGGUGGAUCUACUUUAGCCUCCUUAGACCACAAAAUAAUAUUUCUCCAGAUUGGAUGAAUGCAGGGGCUACCCAAAAGAUUGAACACUCAGCAUUCACACAUUGCUCAUUCAUUCAAUACCUGUGAGCCACAGCUCCAAGUCCGUGGCACCUGAUCCCUUGACACAUGGGACUUCUCUUGCAACACAAAUUAAUAGAUAAAAUGAAGAAUUUCAAGCUGGUGGCUACAGAGUAUUAAACCCCAAGCCACUGAGCAAGGGGCUUUGUGUGAUGUUCUGGUGUUCUGCAAUAAGUCUUUCUAAAAAUGUUAUAAUAUUUAAGUACACUUAGUUUUUGGUAUUUGUAAACAAAACUCUAAGUAAUACAGAAAUUAGUACCAGUCAGUGCUACCCAGAGCAUAGGUAAACUGGGGAAUUAGGCCCGGUUGGGACAAAAAGCAAUAAAAAUAUUAAAUAGUGAUAAUUUACCAAUUCAUGGCUUGUAGCCCAGAAACAAUGAAUUGAAAUACUGCCUGUGGUUACUUAGAAUGCGGUGCUCAUUGCAGCAAGGUUUUGGGAAACUGAGUGGACACUGUUUUGUGAAAGCAUAAAUGACGGGAGGAAAUCAAGGAAGAUACAGGGGCGUGGCUGCUUCUGGGUAGCAUAAGGAAAGAUGAUGGUCAGAUCCAAUUCCUACAUUCUUUGCUCAAGGCACAUAAGGAAGCUCAAGCACUUUCUGUGACCUUGUUAAGAGAAUCUCUCAUGUCUUGCAGGCACAGGGCUCCGAUAAAAACAAUUUCACAGUUUGAUCCUAUGGGCUGCCAAUUUACAACAGUUGAAUUCACAACCUCGUGAGGUGUCGUAUGUGAGAGUGAGGGCAUGGUUAGGAGUGGCUGGGAAGCUGAGAAUUGGAUGAGGCUGUAUAGGAGCGCUAACAACAUUUGGAGCCAUUCCUGUUACCGUCAGCAGAGGCAGACUCUCCUUCUUCCUUACUUGAUAAGUCUGUUAAGCUUUGCCUGAAAGCCCUAUAACUCCUUUGAUGAGUCAAUUCUCUUCAUGUCUCAUCCCAAUUACCCACAAGUAUCUCCUGACCUAUAGCUAUAAACAGAUCCUAGCAUACUCCAAAGAGUGAAUAACAAAUCAAAGCCAGAAGUCUUACACACCCUUCCUAAUUUGCAGUAGGUACGUCUGAAUACCAGGCAAAAGAAUAGCUUCUGAGUGUCUCAGAUUAAGAAGAAAAGAAUAUAUUUUUAAGAUUAGAAUAAAUGUAUGAAUAUAGGCUCACUUACCAUUUAUUCUGAAUUCAAUAUGCAGGACUUAACACCUGAACUUGAUUUCAAUUAUGUUUUGGGUUGAUAUAUUGAGAUCUGGACUAAAUGGUGCCUCAAGUAAAAUAAAGUUUAUAUGCCAACAAUUCUUUGGUCUACUGCAGAAAUAAAGAAUCUGAAUAAUUUGAGA
Molecule: long non-coding RNA, 5077 nt
Organism: Homo sapiens (human)
Lineage: Eukaryota; Metazoa; Chordata; Mammalia; Primates; Hominidae
Exons: 2
Source: RefSeq, a predicted model, not a curated record